This 353-nucleotide unclassified non-coding RNA is filed under the name Mycoplasma iguanae. Its description in RNAcentral is "16S-23S ribosomal RNA intergenic spacer". Lineage: Bacteria; Bacillati; Mycoplasmatota; Mollicutes; Mycoplasmatales; Mycoplasmataceae. The record is from RNAcentral.
CUACGGAGUACAUAUAUUUAUCCUAAGUGAUAAAUUCAUCUUUGGCUGUAAAAUCCUUUAAAAUCAAUAAAUUAUUUUAAAGGCGUGUUAUGUUGUGUAUAAGCCAGCAAAUAUUCUUGUAUCCAGUUUUGAGAGCUCUAUGUUCUCAAAAAAUAGUUCUUUGAAAACUGAAUAGCAAAAUACCAAUGAAAUGAAAAUUUCAUAAUAUUUUAACGAAAACGACAUCAAAUAUUUUUAUUAAUAUUUGAUAACCGAGGUAAAAAAAGAAAUUUUUUUACAACCAAAUUGAUCAAAAUUAAAUUGCUUAGAUAUACAAAUCUAAAACAAUAGGCUUAAAAAAAUAAAGUUAUUGG